Molecule: long non-coding RNA, 826 nt
Organism: Osmia lignaria (orchard mason bee)
Lineage: Eukaryota; Metazoa; Arthropoda; Insecta; Hymenoptera; Megachilidae
Source: RefSeq, a predicted model, not a curated record
CGCGAGUCGGUGGCGCCCCCAGCCUCUCGCCUCGUGCUUUAGAAGUGACGGACGCGCGGAUUUUUCGUUCCGUAUAUUUUAUUAAAUUUUUGUGUUAAAUUUUUUCAAAACUGUACAAAAAAGUGAAUAACCUUGCUCCACAGUAACUUUGCUACGCGUAUUAGUCAUAAUCAAGUAUAUUUACAAACGUAUCGAGAGAAGUAGAGGUAAAAAGUAAAAUUGCGCCAAUUCGUAACCGACAACAGCCAUCUUGUCCUCGUGGCGCGGCGUGGCGUUUCAAUUUUGCAUUUUCGUUCGCGUUUUAUAAACUUUUUCGUAGAAAAUUGGCUUUCGGUCAGGCAUACGAUUGAUAUUGUGAAAGUGUUAUCAAGACGGUAAAGGUUAUGGCGGAAUUUGGCGGAAUUUGGCGGACUGUGAUUACGAGAGACGCUGCAAUCCUUGGGGACUCUUAACGUCGGCUUUGAUCGUCUUACAACAAGCAACAGGUCCGCCAUGUUUGUUCGUCUCAUUGUCAGGUAAGUGAGCGAAGAGGAAAUGAACUGCCCCCGGCUUGGCCCGUGGCAUUAAGUUCCGAGGAUUUAAGCGAGGGGCGUGGAUCUGACGGGUGGAUGGUGAAAAGAGUGCAAAGGUCGAAGGUGGAGCCUCUCGAAGGUACUGACAGUUGACUGAUGAGACCCUCUCGAGCCACAACUAUUCGCCAUCGUUUCCCGCAAGAAGUUGAAGCUCGUUAAUCGACCCACUGUAGCCUGUUUCCCGUGGAACGCGCUUAAUAGGGUCCCUCCUGAAAUACUGUCGGAUUGUUAUUCAAUUUUCGAGCAAGCCAGCA